Long non-coding RNA from Junco hyemalis (dark-eyed junco), 1741 nucleotides. The record is from Ensembl. Lineage: Eukaryota; Metazoa; Chordata; Aves; Passeriformes; Passerellidae.
GCUGCAGCCUGUGGGACUUGCACGGGGCUGAGCUGGGCUGGGGGGAGUCCCUGCACCCCCAAAACCCCGAGGAGCCUUUGGAGAGGACAGGACUGAGCCCGCCAAGGAAGCCAAGGACUCCGAGAACUGUGCUGCUGCCUCAGAACUGAGCCCGCCGAGGAAACCAAGAGCUCUGCUGCUGCCUCUGCUGCAGCCCAGGCUCUCUGCAGGGCCAGCCCCUGACAGCAGCACCAUCUCUGAUUCAGAUACACUGGAUUUAUCCCGGUUCCCUGCUAAGCAGGUGGCAAAUUGCUUCUGUGCAGAAGUGCCCCUGUCCUGUCUGUGUGCCACACGCUCGUGUUUGUUCCACAGUUCUUCAAAAGUCUGUCUUGGAAGAAGGUUUGAGGAAGCGUUCCAGAGGAGUAGCUCAUGAAAAGAUGGAAGUGAGUGAAAAUGAAGUGGUUUGUUCCAAAGAAUUUCUCCAUUGCACAGGGUAUGUCCCAUGCUUUGUUGAACGUCCCACAAGCCCAAUUUUAGGGAAAAUAUAAAGCUACAUUCAGGAAACCAAGCUGUAAUUAUUUUUUUGAGUUGUCAGAAACCAUGAUGAGAAAAAUUAUGCAAUCAUUUGUAAUUGGCUGUCCCUGAAAAACGACAAAAGGCUUAACACUGUCCCAGCAAAAAGUUCUGGAAAAGACUGAACUAAACCAGAUUAUCCCUGAUCCACAUUCACUGGGCUGGGAGAGGGAACAGGUGUCCUCACCUGGAAGGUGUCCUCACCUCAGCAAAAGCGAGCACAAGUCCCACAGAGCCCGAGCCUGGGAGGCUGGCACAGGAACCAGGAAGGAAAAAGAAUCCUCUAGAAAAACAGGAGAAGAGGGGAAACCCCAGAAGAAAUUCCACAGUGUGAUUGACCACAUUGGAUCCACAGCCGAGCACAGAAAUGCAGGGCUGUGGGGCAAGGCCAGGGAUGAGGAACAAGGCCAGGUAUGGAGGUCAAAGCCAGGACCAAGGCCAGGAGCGAGGUGCUGCCACCAGCCAGGGUCCCAUGUGCCCAUUCCCUGGGAGCACGGGCAGGAAGGGACCAGAGCUCUGGACAGGUACCUGCGCUGCUGGAGUUUAUAAAGCUAUGAAGAAAACCCCUGGAUACUGAAAUUCUUCAACCUCUUCCUGCCCUUGUACAUCGACAGAGUUUUAACCCAGCACUGGGAGCUCAGCUGCAGGAACACAAGGAAGGGAUUUGGUCAGAGAAGUGUGGCAUUUGAACCAGAGGGAUGCAACGUUUUAAGGCCAAGGUUGUGGAUGUUGAUAUCAGCAUACAAUUCUAUCAUGGAAUUGAUUUAACAAGCUCCAAUUCUACCAGAUACCAAUGCCAGUGCUGGCAUUCUGGGAUGAGCUGCAUUUUUGCUUCUGCAUUUCAUGCCUAAACGAGUUCAUUUUGAGUUCCACUGAAAUACUUCAUGUCUUAAAAUACUGUAUUCACUGCAGGUGGUGGCUGAGGUGACAAAGGGCACGUUAGGAAGGGGCUUGAGUCCAUCUCAUGGCUCUUCAUUGGGGAUGUGCUCUUGCCCGGUGUGUCCGUGUGUCUCAAAUACCGGUUCUGUUUUCCCAUUAACUUCCUUGAUCCUGGGGGUUUUACGUACAAAGCCAAUUGUACAGGACAGGUCUGUGUGUAAAUAGGGGAUUGUGCUUAUCUAUAUGUCACUAUAAAUAUGUAUGAAGUUUUGUACAUAGGAAAGAGAAAACGGCUCAAAGAAUGUUUUCA